RNAcentral lists this small RNA (249 nucleotides) under Histoplasma ohiense. RNAcentral's name for it is "hypothetical lncRNA". Lineage: Eukaryota; Fungi; Ascomycota; Eurotiomycetes; Onygenales; Ajellomycetaceae. The record is from RNAcentral.
GGGACUGACUAUGAUUUUGACUGAGGUUUGGUCCUGUUCUGAUGAUAUAUAAUACAUAUCUAGAUAUCAUUCUGAUGAUAUGAUUGGUGGAGAAUAUCACCUCUAUCUAGUGCUGCCAAUCUAUCUACCACUGUCAAUCUAUAGGAACUAAGAUAUCUGAUAAUGGGACUAAGGAAAAAUUUAGUCCUAGUCCCAUGCAUGGUCACACGGCCAGUCUAGUUCAAACAAUGAAUGAAAUAUUCGAAGAAG